UGACUGAGGCCCGCCAAGUAGACGACCAAGUCCCACCCUUCGAAAUGGGGUCGGCGACCGUCGCUCUUGCUGGCCGUGACAAACUUGGAAACAAAUUCGCGGGAACGACAAACACUGUUUUCCCUUCCCUUGGGGCUCACGCUCCGCUACGCACGCGACGCGUGCACGGGGGGACGUCCGCGUUCUUACUGUGACUAAAAAAGCGUGACCAAAGCUGUCAUUCGACAUGAGUUAGAAGCAUGGGAUAACAAAGGAGCAGCCUAUGGGCUACCGGUUCGGCUUUUGUUGGUUUUAAGGUCUGUGGGAGAUUAUGGGUCCGCACGACAAGCGGUUCGGGGGUGGCUCAAUGCCAUUCCCCCGCCUCCUGGCCGCGUUUGCUUCACGGCGGCGCAGUCGGGCUUGCGGUGCCCAGGAUGAAGGAGGGUUGUUCGGGGGAGAACGUACUUGAGCGUGAGAGGUGAAAUUCUUAGACCGCUCAAGACGAACUACAGCGAAGGCAUUCUCCAAGGAUACCUUCAUCAAUCAAGAACAAGUG
This 535-nucleotide ribosomal RNA is filed under the name uncultured kinetoplastid. Its description in RNAcentral is "bacterial SSU rRNA". It matches the Rfam family "Eukaryotic small subunit ribosomal RNA", at positions 724 to 989 of the family's 1831-position model. Lineage: Eukaryota; Euglenozoa; Kinetoplastea. The record is from RNAcentral.